RNAcentral lists this ribosomal RNA (1346 nucleotides) under uncultured bacterium. Its description in RNAcentral is "bacterial SSU rRNA". It matches the Rfam family "Bacterial small subunit ribosomal RNA", at positions 28 to 1381 of the family's 1533-position model. The record is from RNAcentral.
GACGAACGCUGGCGGCGUGCUUAACACAUGCAAGUCGAACGGAAAGGCCCUGCUUUUGUGGGGUGCUCGAGUGGCGAACGGGUGAGUAACACGUGAGUAACCUGCCCUUGACUUUGGGAUAACUUCAGGAAACUGGGGCUAAUACCGGAUAGGAGCUCCUGCUGCAUGGUGGGGGUUGGAAAGUUUUGGCGGUUGGGGAUGGACUCGCGGCUUAUCAGCUUGUUGGUGGGGUAGUGGCUUACCAAGGCUUUGACGGGUAGCCGGCCUGAGAGGGUGACCGGCCACAUUGGGACUGAGAUACGGCCCAGACUCCUACGGGAGGCAGCAGUGGGGAAUAUUGCACAAUGGGCGGAAGCCUGAUGCAGCAACGCCGCGUGCGGGAUGACGGCCUUCGGGUUGUAAACCGCUUUCGCCUGUGACGAAGCGUGAGUGACGGUAAUGGGUAAAGAAGCACCGGCUAACUACGUGCCAGCAGCCGCGGUGAUACGUAGGGUGCGAGCGUUGUCCGGAUUUAUUGGGCGUAAAGGGCUCGUAGGUGGUUGAUCGCGUCGGAAGUGUAAUCUUGGGGCUUAACCCUGAGCGUGCUUUCGAUACGGGUUGACUUGAGGAAGGUAGGGGAGAAUGGAAUUCCUGGUGGAGCGGUGGAAUGCGCAGAUAUCAGGAGGAACACCAGUGGCGAAGGCGGUUCUCUGGGCCUUUCCUGACGCUGAGGAGCGAAAGCGUGGGGAGCGAACAGGCUUAGAUACCCUGGUAGUCCACGCUGUAAACGGUGGGUACUAGGUGUGGGGUCCAUUCCACGGGUUCCGUGCCGUAGCUAACGCUUUAAGUACCCCGCCUGGGGAGUACGGCCGCAAGGCUAAAACUCAAAGGAAUUGACGGGGCCCCGCACAAGCGGCGGAGCAUGCGGAUUAAUUCGAUGCAACGCGUAGAACCUUACCUGGGUUUGACAUGGAUCGGGAGCGCUCAGAGAUGGGUGUGCCUCUUUUGGGGUCGGUUCACAGGUGGUGCAUGGCUGUCGUCAGCUCGUGUCGUGAGAUGUUGGGUUAAGUCCCGCAACGAGCGCAACCCUUGUUCACUGUUGCCAGCACGUUAUGGUGGGGACUCAGUGGAGACCGCCGGGGUCAACUCGGAGGAAGGUGGGGAUGACGUCAAGUCAUCAUGCCCCUUAUGUCCAGGGCUUCACGCAUGCUACAAUGGCUGGUACAGAGAGUGGCGAGCCUGUGAGGGUGAGCGAAUCUCGGAAAGCCGGUCUCAGUUCGGAUUGGGGUCUGCAACUCGACCUCAUGAAGUCGGAGUCGCUAGUAAUCGCAGAUCAGCAACGCUGCGGUGAAUACGUUCCCGGGGCU